AUACGGAGGGUCCAAGCGUUAUCCGGAAUCAUUGGGUUUAAAUGGUUCGUAGGCGGGUCAAUAAGUCAGAGGUGAAAUCUUGCAGCUUAACUGUAAAAUUGCCUUUGAAACUGUUGACCUAGAAUUACUGUGAAGUGGUUAGAAUAUGUAGUGCAGCGGUGAAAUGCUUAGAGAUUACAUAGAAUACCGAUUGCGAAGGCAGAUCACUAACAGUAUAUUGACGCUGAUGAACGAAAGCGUGGGUAGCGAACGGGAUUAGAAACCCCGGUAGUCC
Molecule: ribosomal RNA, 274 nt
Filed under: uncultured bacterium
Lineage: Bacteria
Description: partial 16S ribosomal RNA
Rfam family: Bacterial small subunit ribosomal RNA
Source: RNAcentral